UUCCGGUUGAUCCUGCCGGACCUUACUGCUAUCGGGGUGGGACUAAGACAUGCGAGUCGAGCGUCUCUAGCUAUGUUGAGACGCGGCAUACGGCUCAGUAACACGUGGCUAACCUACCCUCAGGACGGGGACAAACCCGGGAAACUGGGGCUAAUAUCCGAUAGGCGAAGAAUCCUGGAAUGGUUCUUCACUCAAAGGACAUUGGAAACAUGCUUUCUCUGUCGCCUGGGGAUGGGGCCGCGUCCGAUCAGGUUGUUGGUGAGGUAAUGGCUCACCAAGCCUUUAACCGGUACGGGCCGUGAGAGCGGUAGCCCGGAGAUGGGUACUGAGACAAGGACCCAGGCCCUACGGGGCGCAGCAGUCGCGAAAACUCCGCAAUGCACGAAAGUGUGACGGGGCUACCCCGAGUGCCGUCCGCUGAGGAUGGCUUUUCCUUGGUGUAACUAGCCGGGGGAAUAAGGAGAGGGCAAGACUGGUGUCAGCCCGCCGCGGUAAUACCCAGCUCUCCGAGUGGUAGGGAUGAUUAUUGGGCUUAAAGCGUCCGUAGCCGGCUUAGCAAGUUUCCUGUUAAAUUCAGCGACCUAAUCGUUGAGCCGCGGGAAAUACUACUAGGCUAGGAGGCGGGAGAGGUCGACGGUACUUCUGGGGUAGGGGUGAAAUCCUAUAAUCCCGGGAGGACCACCAGUGGCGAAGGCUGUCGACUAGAACGCGCUCGACGGUGAGGGACGAAAGCUGGGGGAGCGAACCGGAUUAGAUACCCGGGUAGUCCCAGCUGUAAACGAUGCGGGCUAGGUGUUGGGGUGGCUACGUGCCACUUCAGUGCCGCAGGGAAGCCAUUAAGCCCGCCGCCUGGGGAGUACGGCCGCAAGGCUGAAACUUAAAGGAAUUGGCGGGGGAGCACCACAAGGCGUGAAGCUUGCGGUUCAAUUGGAGUCAACGCCGGG
RNAcentral lists this ribosomal RNA (944 nucleotides) under uncultured archaeon. Its description in RNAcentral is "bacterial SSU rRNA". It matches the Rfam family "Archaeal small subunit ribosomal RNA", at positions 1 to 922 of the family's 1478-position model. The record is from RNAcentral.